GUUUACACACCUCCUGGAUCCUGAUUGGUGUCGCUGCUGCAGCCGCAAGGCACUGAUUGGAUGCUCACAGACCGUAAUACAGCGCAGAUGAAAAUGAUUCAGACUACAGCGUUUAUAUGUUAAACAAUAGGAAACGUAGUCUUAGCUGUUUUAAAAUUACACCAAGUUUAUUUCGGAUUAUUCCAACUGAAGAAUACAAGCCGCAGGGAACUUUGAGGUGCGUAAACGCUAUUUAUAGGUGCGUAAACGCUAUUUCCAAAAUUCCAGAGGUGCGUAAACGGCGUUUACGUGCGUUUACCCUCCACCACAGCCCUGUUGGCUGGUGAGGCACCUUCUUGAAGAGCUCAUAAUACCAUAUUGUCCUACUAGAGAGCUGGGGUCUGUUUCAAGAAAGGCUGUAGAUAAGGCCAUGUUGAAAACCAGUGAGGUUAGGGGUUAGGGUUAGGGUUACAAAUGCAGUGCGAUCUAAAAACAAAUACAUACACAUCCACAAACAAAUAUGAAUAUACAUUGUAGCGCAGGGAUCCGUUUCAAGUAGGAGGUUUAACAAACUCUGAGUCAAACCCUAAACUCUGAGUUGAUUUACCCUGAGAUGUGAAACUCUGAGUUUUGGGUUUCUGAACAGCUGUUCAGAGUUGGUUUAAUCAACUCGGAGUAGGUUGACUCAGAGUUGAGCGCGUGCACCACCACAGUAUGAAGGCAGCGUGAAUGGAGCCACGAUACUACGAUUCACCAUGGCAACCACCACAAACAAUCGGUCGGGUACUUGAGCUGGAUGUAUUAAUGCAAGCGUACGCGAGUAUAAACCCGUAAUUAGAAAAAAAGUGACUGCAGCAAAAGACAGAGAAACGGCGUCGGAGAAAAUCCAGAGCGACGCACACGUUUCUCACGGCUCUGCAUACAGCAGCUUUACUGAUAUUAUAAUGUUGUAAAGGAAACUGACGUUUGCAAAAAAAGUAAUACUACACAAAAAAUGUGCUCGUAUGUGAGAGCCUGUCCACGAUGAGGGGCGUUACUUAUAUGAGGACAGGUGAGGUUGUACACAUUUGAUGGACUGACUAAUAAAAACGAUACCAUUCAAACAAGCAGUCACCUGGAAAUAACAAUAUAUCUAAUCGGGCCUCAAUAAUCUCUCCCGAUGUGUUUAACACCCUGCGAAGUAAAACCGCUUCUUCAUCAACAGGAUCGUCCUUUUCUGGACGUGCCAUGUUCAAGAAAACAAUUCAGUCUUUAACGUAACAGAUCUUAUUUUGUUCAUAUGUCUAAAUUGCACUAAAAAUCCGCCUGAUACAGAGUCAUUGAAUGAAUGAGGAAAUGAAAGUGUGCUGUGUGAUUGGCUGGGCUGCUGUCAGAGGGAGGAGACUGCGAAAGAAACUCAAGGUUUAUUGAAGAAAACCUGCUCCCGACCAGGUGAUGUUCACAGGCUCAGUUACCAUGGUGACUGACCCUGAGCUUUAGUUACCAUGGUGACUGAGCCUGAGCUUUUAGUUACCUCCCUUUGUGAAACAGACAAGCCAGAGUUUCCCUCAUCUCAGGGUUAACAAACUCUGAGUUUCCACUAAACCCGCUUCUUGAAACAGACCCCAGCUCUCUAGUAGGACAAUAUGGUAUUAUGAGCUCUUCAAGAAGGUGCCUCACCAGCAAACAGGGCUGUAGUGGAGGGUAAACGGACGUAAACGCCGUUUACGCACCUCUGGAAUUUUGGAAAUAGCGUUUACGCACCUCUAAAUAGCAUUUACGCACCUCAAAGUUCCC
Long non-coding RNA from Gasterosteus aculeatus aculeatus (three-spined stickleback), 1755 nucleotides. The record is from Ensembl. NCBI's taxonomy places the organism in Eukaryota, Metazoa, Chordata, Actinopteri, Perciformes, Gasterosteidae.